AGCCGUACCCCGGGGAGCCUGUGUUGGCUGAGAGGGGCCGGUCACGCGGCCCGACCCGUCGAACCUGAACCCGUUAGCACGGGCGGAGGGAGGGCCGGCGGCAAAUCC
This 108-nucleotide non-coding RNA is filed under the name Novosphingobium nitrogenifigens. RNAcentral describes it as "TPP sequence". It matches the Rfam family "TPP riboswitch aptamer (THI element)". From Rfam's summary of the family: Vitamin B(1) in its active form thiamin pyrophosphate (TPP) is an essential coenzyme that is synthesised by coupling of pyrimidine and thiazole moieties in bacteria. Lineage: Bacteria; Pseudomonadati; Pseudomonadota; Alphaproteobacteria; Sphingomonadales; Sphingomonadaceae. The record is from RNAcentral. RNAcentral also lists the same sequence under 1 other name.